This 336-nucleotide unclassified non-coding RNA is filed under the name soil metagenome. RNAcentral describes it as "partial contains 5.8S ribosomal RNA, internal transcribed spacer 2, and large subunit ribosomal RNA". The stretch from base 1 to 120 matches the Rfam family "5.8S ribosomal RNA", at positions 35 to 154 of the family's 154-position model. The record is from RNAcentral.
GAUGAAGAACGCAGCGAAAUGCGAAAAGUAAUGUGAAUUGCAGAAUUCAGUGAAUCAUCGAAUCUUUGAACGCACAUUGCGCCCGCCAGUAUUCUGGCGGGCAUGCCUGUUCGAGCGUCAUUUCAACCAUCAAGCCCCCCGGCUUGUGUUGGGGACCUGCGGCUGCCGCAGGCCCUGAAAAGCAGUGGCGGGCUCGCUGUCACACCGAGCGUAGUAGAUCUCAUCUCGCUCAGGGCGUGCUGCGGGUUCCGGCCGUUAAACCACCUUCAUAACCCAAGGUUGACCUCGGAUCAGGUAGGAAGACCCGCUGAACUUAAGCAUAUCAAUAGCGGAGGA